Molecule: transfer RNA, 88 nt
Filed under: Acrocarpospora corrugata
Lineage: Bacteria; Bacillati; Actinomycetota; Actinomycetes; Streptosporangiales; Streptosporangiaceae
Also listed under: 8 other names
Description: tRNA-Ser
Rfam family: tRNA
About the family: Transfer RNA (tRNA) molecules are approximately 80 nucleotides in length.
Source: RNAcentral
GGUGGUGUCUCCUAGUGGCCGAUGGAGCGCGCCUCGAAAGCGCGUGUAGGGCAACCUACCGUGGGUUCAAAUCCCACCACCACCGCCA